AGGAUUAUAGUUUAAUAAAACAUUUGAUUUGCAUUCAAAAAUUAUUGAAUUUUAUUUUCAAUUUAUCUUA
This 70-nucleotide transfer RNA is filed under the name Biston suppressaria. RNAcentral's name for it is "tRNA-Ala". It matches the Rfam family "tRNA". From Rfam's summary of the family: Transfer RNA (tRNA) molecules are approximately 80 nucleotides in length. Their secondary structure includes four short double-helical elements and three loops (D, anti-codon, and T loops). The record is from RNAcentral. Lineage: Eukaryota; Metazoa; Arthropoda; Insecta; Lepidoptera; Geometridae.